UAUAACAGUAUAUAAAUAAUUUAAAACAAAUCUAAAUAAUUCUCAGUACAUAAAAUAUAAUAUUUGUAUAAUAUUUAUAUUUUUCACAUUUCAGUUAGCAAUGCAUCUCACAAACACACACAAAGUAUAUAAAAUAACACUGAUGGAAAAUACUCCUGAUGUUAAAUGUAAAGAACCAUUACUGCAGCGUUGUUUGAAUGUUACUCUAAUGUAAUGUAAAUGUUACAUUUGUGUAAAAAAUAAUAAAAAAAAAUGUGGACAGUAUAGCCUAGAUAUAAGUUUUUACAUAUUUAAUAAAAUACUACAGAACUACUCACCACUGUAAUACUACAAAUCACAUUAGGAACAUUAACAUUCUUGCAAUCAAAACACACGUCUAAAAAUUAUUUUAGAACAUAAAUUUAUCAAGGUUAUUUGUGAAUCUCCGUUUUCCUUUUUCCCUCUCUCUCCUCUUCCUGUUGGAUGCGAUUUCUCUCUUAUUUCCUCUCCACACUGCAGGGGCCAGUCUUUUUUAGUCGAUGCGUGAGUGUCAGAGCACGAGGAUUCAGGCUGUUAUGAAACCCUCCAGGGCUCUUCUGUUGGUUUCAGGAUCCAGUGCCCAUUUCUGGCCCCAUCCACACCUGUACCUGGUGGUGCCCCGGAGCGUGUGAGGAGCAUAUGCCCGUGAGGGCAGCGGGAGGCUGUGUGGGCAGACAAAAGAGUGGUUUUCCACUCACUCUUCCUGACUGGACGUCAAAUGCAGAUUAUUUCGCGAAGUGUGAUUUUGGCAGUGAUUUGCCAGCAUCCUGUGAUUGGACCUCUGAGGGACCCAUCAGCGCUCAGAAGGCAACAGGUAAUUAUACUGCGGAGACGAAAUUGCUGCAGAGACAGUAACUGCUUUGUGUUUACAACCAAUCCAUCCACCUGCUGAACAACAACAGCAGUUAACAGGUUGCUUACAACACGCAGAGAUCAAGUCAGUUCAAUUUUUGCCGAUCUGUGGUAAUUAUGU
RNAcentral lists this long non-coding RNA (991 nucleotides) under Carassius auratus (goldfish). RNAcentral describes it as "lncRNA (ENSCARG00000067681.1)". The record is from RNAcentral. Lineage: Eukaryota; Metazoa; Chordata; Actinopteri; Cypriniformes; Cyprinidae.